Molecule: ribosomal RNA, 253 nt
Filed under: uncultured bacterium
Lineage: Bacteria
Description: partial 16S ribosomal RNA
Rfam family: Bacterial small subunit ribosomal RNA
Source: RNAcentral
UACGUAGGGUGCAAGCGUUAAUCGGAAUUACUGGGUGUAAAGCGUGCGCAGGCGGUUUUGUAAGCCAGAUGUGAAAGCCCCGGGCUUAACCUGGGAAUGGCAUUUGGGACUGCAAGGCUGGAGUUUGGCAGAGGAGACUGGAAUUCCUGGUGUAGCAGUGAAAUGCGUAGAUAUCAGGAGGAAUACCGAUGGCGAAGGCAGGUCUCUGGGCUAUAACUGACGCUCAUGCACGAAAGCGUGGGGAGCAAACAGG